This 293-nucleotide ribosomal RNA is filed under the name uncultured bacterium. RNAcentral describes it as "partial 16S ribosomal RNA". It matches the Rfam family "Bacterial small subunit ribosomal RNA", at positions 29 to 348 of the family's 1533-position model. The record is from RNAcentral.
AACGAACGCUGGCGGCAGGCCUAACACAUGCAAGUCGGACGAGAAGGUUCCUUCGGGAACUGGAGAGUGGCGCACGGGUGAGUAACGCGUGGGGACCUACCUCUUAGUGGGGGAUAACGGUUGGAAACGACCGCUAAUACCGCAUACGCCUUCGGGAAGAUUAUCGCUAGAGAUGACCGCGUUGGAUUAGAUAGUUGGUGAGGUAAUGGCUCACCAAGUCAGCGAUCCAUAGCUGGUUUGAGAGGAUGAUCAGCCACACUGGACUGAGACACGGCCCAGACUCCUACGGGAGG